This 44-nucleotide small RNA is filed under the name Plasmodium falciparum 3D7. RNAcentral describes it as "Pfa-starR392". Lineage: Eukaryota; Apicomplexa; Aconoidasida; Haemosporida; Plasmodiidae. The record is from RNAcentral.
CCACUAUGCACAAUAAGUCGCACCACUAUGCACAAUAAGUCGCA